GUACUAUAUAUUGCGAUUCAUGAAGGAGAUUGUUGAUAUGAAUCAAACUAUAAUCUCAAAAACGGUACGAUAUUUUCAUUAUUUGAUUUUCAUAUAUAAACUAUGUAUAUAUUUGAUUCUAACUUAUUUAUGUUCAAUUUUUAUAUCGCACAGUACUUUGACAGUUCCAGUCCAACAUACUCUGAAAGAGAUCUAAUUGAAAUAAAGGAAGACUGGUGUCUGUAUGUGAUUGAAAUGAAAAUUAUUUGAUUUGCCGGGAAAUGGCAUGCUGCAAGGGAUAGUUAUAUGAAUAUAUGGUAGUUCUGUUCUGUGUAGUUCUGACAGUUAUAUGUAUAUGAAUAUGGCACAUUUGAAAAGUUGUGAAUAUGUAGUUAUAUGAAUAUGUAUAUAGUUAUGUGAUGUUGUCAAUAUGUGAAUAUAUAUAUAUAUAUAUAUAUAUGAAUAUGUUGUGAACUGAUUGU
RNAcentral lists this long non-coding RNA (461 nucleotides) under Cicer arietinum (chickpea). RNAcentral's name for it is "long non-coding RNA (CARI_LNC001352)". Lineage: Eukaryota; Viridiplantae; Streptophyta; Magnoliopsida; Fabales; Fabaceae. The record is from RNAcentral.